GCUGGCGGCAGGCCUAACACAUGCAAGUCGAGCGGAUGAAGGGAGCUUGCUCCUGGAUUCAGCGGCGGACGGGAGAGUAAUGCCUAGGAAUCUGCCUGGUAGUGGGGGAUAACGUCCGGAAACGGGCGCUAAUACCGCAUACGUCCUGAGGGAGAAAGUGGGGGAUCUUCGGACCUCACGCUAUCAGAUGAGCCUAGGUCGGAUUAGCUAGUUGGUGGGGUAAAGGCCUACCAAGGCGACGAUCCGUAACUGGUCUGAGAGGAUGAUCAGUCACACUGGAACUGAGACACGGUCCAGACUCCUACGGGAGGCAGCAGUGGGGAAUAUUGGACAAUGGGCGAAAGCCUGAUCCAGCCAUGCCGCGUGUGUGAAGAAGGUCUUCGGAUUGUAAAGCACUUUAAGUUGGGAGGAAGGGCAGUAAGUUAAUACCUUGCUGUUUUGACGUUACCAACAGAAUAAGCACCGGCUAACUUCGUGCCAGCAGCCGCGGUAAUACGAAGGGUGCAAGCGUUAAUCGGAAUUACUGGGCGUAAAGCGCGCGUAGGUGGUUCAGCAAGUUGGAUGUGAAAUCCCCGGGCUCAACCUGGGAACUGCAUCCAAAACUACUGAGCUAGAGUACGGUAGAGGGUGGUGGAAUUUCCUGUGUAGCGGUGAAAUGCGUAGAUAUAGGAAGGAACACCAGUGGCGAAGGCGACCACCUGGACUGAUACUGACACUGAGGUGCGAAAGCGUGGGGAGCAAACAAGAUUAGAUACCCUGGUAGUCCACGCCGUAAACGAUGUCGACUAGCCGUUGGGAUCCUUGAGAUCUUAGUGGCGCAGCUAACGCGAUAAGUCGACCGCCUGGGGAGUACGGCCGCAAGGUUAAAACUCAAAUGAAUUGACGGGGGCCCGCACAAGCGGUGGAGCAUGUGGUUUAAUUCGAAGCAACGCGAAGAACCUUACCUGGCCUUGACAUGCUGAGAACUUUCCAGAGAUGGAUUGGUGCCUUCGGGAACUCAGACACAGGUGCUGCAUGGCUGUCGUCAGCUCGUGUCGUGAGAUGUUGGGUUAAGUCCCGUAACGAGCGCAACCCUUGUCCUUAGUUACCAGCACCUCGGGUGGGCACUCUAAGGAGACUGCCGGUGACAAACCGGAGGAAGGUGGGGAUGACGUCAAGUCAUCAUGGCCCUUACGGCCAGGGCUACACACGUGCUACAAUGGUCGGUACAAAGGGUUGCCAAGCCGCGAGGUGGAGCUAAUCCCAUAAAACCGAUCGUAGUCCGGAUCGCAGUCUGCAACUCGACUGCGUGAAGUCGGAAUCGCUAGUAAUCGUGAAUCAGAAUGUCACGGUGAAUACGUUCCCGGGCCUUGUACACACCGCCCGUCACACCAUGGGAGUGGGUUGCUCCAGAAGUAGCUAGUCUAACCGCAAGGGGGACGGUUACCACGGAGUGAUU
Molecule: ribosomal RNA, 1438 nt
Filed under: uncultured bacterium
Lineage: Bacteria
Description: bacterial SSU rRNA
Rfam family: Bacterial small subunit ribosomal RNA
Source: RNAcentral